This 547-nucleotide long non-coding RNA is filed under the name Hordeum vulgare. RNAcentral's name for it is "long non-coding RNA (HVUL_LNC004679)". Lineage: Eukaryota; Viridiplantae; Streptophyta; Magnoliopsida; Poales; Poaceae. The record is from RNAcentral.
UUAAAUUUAUAGUUGAAUUUGCCCUAGUGGUAGUACAUAAAUAUGAGAAUCCUCGUUUCUAGGAGUGCGAAAUGCAAUCUGAAGUGCAGAAGAGCAACUAGCACGGAACCCCGCCUAAUCGCAAACAAGGACCCAAAAUAGUAUUUUCUCUAAACAUCAACGCCUUGUUCGCGAAAACAUCCCAGAAAAUAUCGAAUAUAUCCCCAUCGUCCCAUUUAUCCGCGUCCAUCUUUCUCCUCUUCCCCUCGCGGCGGCGUCGUGGGUGGAACCCGCUCCAGGCAUUCUUCCACCGAAGAUCGGGACGAUUUCUCUUGUAGGUGACGAACCCUAACUUGUUUGGAUUUGCUCCCAUCUUUUCUCCUGAUCUAAUUCUCUGUUUCUCUUCGAUCGAUACGUCCAGUUUUCCGCGGCUAGAUUUGGCGUCGGGAGAGGGAAUUCGAUCUGAAAAUGGGGCUGUUCCGGGCCGCGUCGGGUUUAGCCCGGGUGGCGCUGCGGAGGAGCCUGUCGCGCGCUCCGGCGAGCCCGUUCGCCGGCCCCGCGCCNNNNN